This is a long non-coding RNA of Brassica rapa (field mustard), 4109 nucleotides long. RefSeq lists it as uncharacterized. The record is from RefSeq and is a predicted model, not a curated record. Lineage: Eukaryota; Viridiplantae; Streptophyta; Magnoliopsida; Brassicales; Brassicaceae.
UCCUAGUUUCCUUAUUUAAACGGAAAUCGACAGUGCGAAUUUCGGUUCCCACAGGGGGGUUUAAAAAGUAUGGUCCUAAAAACUGGGCCAAGAUCGUACGUACGUACAAGGACGUCUAUCAGAGCUCGUUAGUCACGGGAGAAUUACAAACAGUGCCUCUUGCUCUUCCAAAGCCAAAGACGUUGCUUGCCCAGUCUACCUGGAAGUUAAUGUGAAUUCUAAAGAAAGACGUGAAUGGUGAAUUCUUUGAAACAAUUGAGUACUGGACUCCUUUCUGAACAAAUUUUGAUAAGAGCAGAACCAUAAUCCCAUAGAUGUUGGAUUUAUUAAUGGGCCUAUGUAAACUGAAUGUCUAAACAUAAGAUAGUUGUAAUGGGCCGAUCACUAUCCAAUAAAUUCAUCCAUUUGGGCUGAACCCAUUUCACCUAUUAUCAAUAUCCAAUAGUGCACGUUCCUAGCUCGAACGAAAAUGAUAGAUACCUUUUUUUGCCAACAGGGCUAUGAGUCCUUCUCAUGAAUAAUAUAUAAGCCACGUAAGCAUAGCUAUUAUAGAAUUACAUAAUAUAUAACACUAAAUUACAUUAAUUUAUUGGUAAAUGUUGUUAUAUAAACUAAAAUAUUUUAGUAUAGAAAUAAGAAACCCGCACGGUUGUGCGGAUCGAAAUCUAGUUGUUUUUAAAUAGCUAUCCACUCAUAAUGAAAAAUAAUAUACGUACUUCUUUUGAGGAAAGUUUGUUUUUUAUUAUCUGAAUAUAUAUGCAUUUAUAUUUGUCACACCAAAAAAACAUGAAAUUAUUGUUUUUAGAAUUUAUUUACAAAAUUGAAAUUUUUAUUUACAUUAAUAAACAAAAAGAAAUAUGAGGUUUGCAUCCCUAUUAAACUAUAUUGUAUAAUUCACUUAUAAAAUUAAAAAUGCAUUUAUAAAAUAUUAAAUAAUUAUUAAAUAAUAAUUUUUAUUUAAAUUAUUAUUUGCCUCCGAUGAAUUUUUUUUGAGAAAUUAGAACGUCUACCAACCAUUUCUACGCUAUUUUGCAUACUGCCAAAAGGGUACCUUUUCGAUACUAUUGACAAUUUCGGAGGACACUGAUACCCCUAUAACUUCAUAUAUGUGCCUAUGCAAAAGCUAUCUAAAAGAUAUCACAAGAUUUUUCACAGGAAUUGUCAGUCCAAAACUACAACCCUUACCAUGUUUAUGAUUCUAUAUUGCAUUUUUUUUCUUUCUUCCAUCGUAUCUUCACUAAUUCUGAAGAUCUCUCAACAUCUCUCCUCUUCCAUCCUCUUUCCUCUCAGAAACACCUCCAAUCUAUGACAAACCCAAAAUUUUCUAACUUGAGACGAAAUGGAAGACGCUGAACACUAAGCUUCACAACUUCUCAUUCCGGAGAGAAUUUUCGCCGUUCGUGAAGAACGAAUCAGAGUGAGGGUACCAAACUCUCUCUCCCUUAAAUCACUUUGUUCUUAUCUGUUUAGAACAUAGACCAUUUCUGAGAUCUAAUCGUCUACCUAAAGAACAGAGCUGUAGAUGGAGAAUAACAACUCAGAAAGCUCACCUUAUCUGAUCCUGGAGAGUUUCUUCUCUCUCGUUGAUGAGCCUAUCGGUGUUAGAGUGAUGUCGUACAACAAACCGUUCGCAGUCAGGCAGAUCCUCAGUGCCACCGACGCCGAUGAAGUCAAAACUCCAAAUGAUAAAGUGGAACCAAAAAAUUAGAAAAAAUAUUUACAAGUGACUCGACAAUUACAAAAAUAUCUCAGUCCAAAAACUAUUUGAAUCCAUGCUAAACGUUUUCGUAACCUUCUACAAAAAUGGAAAUCAUCUGCAACUAAAAAUACAAUAUUUUGCUUAGUUGGAUAAACAAUGAGAACCACAUGCACAAGCAGAUUGUAAAAACUAUUGUCCAACUAAUAUAUUUUGUAAUUGGCUUAACAAAAUUGUUGUCCAACUAAUAUUAUAUUUUACAUAUCUAACAUUUUUCAUUGAUAGCUAACAUUACUUUUAGCUGAGCUUUGAAAGUUUUAACUGGAUAAUAAUACUUUUAAAAUAUAUAUUUUAGUUUUGUUGAAGAUAAUAUAUUCUUAAAAGGACAUGUAUUUUUUAGCCAAUUAUGUAUAAAACGUAAUUAUUUUCAUGCACGACCAGAUUGUCAAAACCAUUGUCCGAGUAAUAUAAAUUGUAACUGGUUUAACAGAAUUGUUGUCCAACUAAUAAUAUUUGUACACAUCUAACAUUUCUCUUUGAUAGCUAACAUUAUAUUUAACUGUUCUUUGAAAGUUUUAACCGGAUAAUAAAAUUUAAAAGUAAAUAUAUUAAUUUUGUUGAAGAUAAUAAUAUAUUUAAAAGGACAUGUAUUUUUUAGCCGAUUAUGAAUUUAUACAUAAUUAUUUACAUUAUCUACAGAUGAUAUUUCUAAUUUGGAGGUUAAAUUUCAUAUAACUAACAUGUAACCAUUAUGUAAUAUAUUAAGUCGUGUACGUAAUUUUAUAUUGACAUGCAACUUUUAUAUUUCAUAGAGUUAAUCAGAAUAACAAGUAAAUAUGUGUUAGCAAUGUAAAUAUGAAAUUAGCCGUCUAUUUUUCUAAUAACAAGUAAAUAAUGUGUUAGCAGUAUAAAUAUAAAACUAGCUGUCAACGUUUUGGUAUUAGCCACUCUUUUUUACAUGAUCUCUGUUUGUAUUUCCUCGAUCUACCUCUUCUCUUUUUCACCCGCUCAUUUCCAUGUUCAUGUUCAAGUAGUCGGCUGAGUUUUGUUGGUACUGAUGCGGUGGUGGCGACUAUGAGCUUGUUGGCUUGUAAAAAGCGGUUACGUCAAUUGUUUGGGAUUGUGGUGAUGAGUGGUUGGGUAUGAUCAAGUGAUUAUGUAAAGAAAGGAAACAGAGAAAAAGAACAAAAACUUAUGAGCUCAUGAGUUUGUUUGGAACUCAUAUAUCCCCUGAUUUUGUUUAGAUUCAUUGGCAAAGUAAAAAAAGAAACAGAAGAAGAAAGUGGAGAUAGAAGCCAACGCUAAUGAGAGAGAAAGAAAUAUAAAAUUUUCUUAAGUUUAUAAAUCGAAUGGCUGAAUUUGCUCUGACAAAAUCUUCACAGAAUCUUUGACAGAUCUUCAUGCUAGUUACAAACCUACAACCUUAAAUCAGAAGAAACCUUCACGAGGGCUUUGGAGGUAAUUUUGUAUGUUCUGACACCACAAUAACAUCUAAUUUUUCACUGUUUUUAGCAUUUUCCUAGUAUCACUAUCUUUUAUUGGUUUUCCGCAAAUUAUCCCAAUAUUUUUCUAGAUCCGCUACCGAGAGAAAUGUGAGAUUAAUGGAUAUGAAGUUAUGAACCAACACUCCCAAGCAACUUGGAGGGAUUCACUGAAUCCGAGGAUCAGUUGUUCUCCGUAUUUUUGGUAAUUUGUUAAAUUAUUGAAAAUUUAGAGAUACUUAAACAAUAAACAAAUACGGGCCCACGGUUUUCUUCUUGGAGGUUUCAUCAAAUACUUUUGCAUUUUUGGUUCAAGCAGCUCCAUUAACAACGAAUUUUAUCAAAUUUUGUUUUUGCUAACCGAGUAUCCUAACCUCAUCGAAGUGGUCCAGACUAGAGACCGAAGUGAGCAUGAACGCUGUUAGGACGUCACCAUGUGGCUCACCAUGGAACGGUCUUCGGUCUCGGAUGCUGCAGCUCAUAUGUAAAUUCUGCAGUAGCCAAGGCUCGAACCCAGGAACGAGCACUCCAACUGGAGCUUCUAUACCACUAGACCAAAGCAACUUGGUUGAAUUUUAUCAAAUUAUAGAUGCGGUUUCCAGUACUUUGCGAGGCGUCUUCCUAAUACAUAUAUAGAGCCUUUAGUAUAACGUGUGGUACCACUGAAAUUAACCUUAUUAUGUAUACGAAAAUGUAGUAUAUAGUAUAUACCUUAGUUUCUCUAUAAAUUCCCUAAAUAGGCCAUGUCAACUUUAAACCCUUUAGUAUAACGUGUGGUACCUCUGAAAGUAACCUUAUUAUGUAUACUAAAAUGUAGUAGAUAGUAUAUACCGUAGUUUCUGUAUAAAUUCCCUAAAUUUCAGACGUCAUUUGAAAACAAAAAAAAAAACAAAGCUAACGAUGUAAUUCUUCAACAUCACAACAUAUGUUUU